GAUGAACGCUGACAGAAUGCUUAACACAUGCAAGUCUACUUGAACUUCGGUUUGGGUGGCGGACGGGUGAGUAACGCGUAAAGAACUUGCCUCACAGUUAGGGACAACAUUUGGAAACGAAUGCUAAUACCUGAUAUUAUGAUUUUAGGGCAUCCUAAGAUUAUGAAAGCUAUAUGCACUGUGAGAGAGCUUUGCGUCCCAUUAGCUAGUUGGAGAGGUAACGGCUCACCAAGGCGAUGAUGGGUAGCCGGCCUGAGAGGGUGAACGGCCACAAGGGGACGGAGACACGGCCCUUACUCCUACGGGAGGCAGCAGUGGGGAAUAUUGGACAAGGGACCAAAAGUCUGAUCCAGCAAUUCUGUGUGCACGAUGACGUUUUUCGGAAUGUAAAGUGCUUUCAGUUGGGAAGAAAAAAAUGACGGUACCAACAGAAGAAGUGACGGCUAAAUACGUG
Molecule: ribosomal RNA, 454 nt
Filed under: uncultured bacterium
Lineage: Bacteria
Description: partial 16S ribosomal RNA
Rfam family: Bacterial small subunit ribosomal RNA
Source: RNAcentral